RNAcentral lists this ribosomal RNA (156 nucleotides) under Melanconis stilbostoma. Its description in RNAcentral is "5.8S ribosomal RNA". It matches the Rfam family "5.8S ribosomal RNA". Rfam says of the family: 5.8S ribosomal RNA (5.8S rRNA) is a component of the large subunit of the eukaryotic ribosome. Lineage: Eukaryota; Fungi; Ascomycota; Sordariomycetes; Diaporthales; Melanconidaceae. The record is from RNAcentral.
AAACUUUCAACAACGGAUCUCUUGGUUCUGGCAUCGAUGAAGAACGCAGCGAAAUGCGAUAAGUAAUGUGAAUUGCAGAAUUCAGUGAAUCAUCGAAUCUUUGAACGCACAUUGCGCCCGCUGGUAUUCCAGCGGGCAUGCCUGUUCGAGCGUCAU